This 1252-nucleotide long non-coding RNA is filed under the name Olea europaea (common olive). Its description in RNAcentral is "long non-coding RNA (OEUR_LNC001776)". The record is from RNAcentral. Lineage: Eukaryota; Viridiplantae; Streptophyta; Magnoliopsida; Lamiales; Oleaceae.
CAAUCUCCUGCAAAUCAAAAUCCAAUUUAUUUAACAACCCAAACCGCCAAAUAACGUUACAAGGACAAAAGGUGAUCUUCUUACUUCUCCGAGCGCCGUCCGUCGACUACGCAGCGCCGUCCAACCACCCCUACCUUCGUUAAUCGGAUUUGUGUUGUCGGGUUUGUGGUUUUUGACAUUCUUUGCAUAGGAAUUAUGGGGUUUUCCUUUUUGAUUAUUUAAUUGAUUCUUACUUGUGGUUUCUGAAUUAAUUCUUAGUAUGAUGGUGAUUACAUGAACAUCAACCCUAAAUAAAACCUUGGAAUGGAUAAUUGGCCUUUGUUUCUCAAAAUUUUGUGGAGGAAUAAAAAAUCAAUCAUUAGACUUUGAAUUUAGAUGCGUUUCUUGUUCUCUUGCCUCAGAAGCCAGAAUUCCCGAUUCCGUGUGUUAUUCAGGACUACAUAAUAGGAAACUCAAACUAAUUUCAAAGACAAUUCCUCUGCAAAAUUAUACAGGAACCAGGAAUGAUAUAUAUGUUUGUUGAUGUUUCCAGAGCCAUGCUACACUUUUCAACUAUUGGAGAAAUCACCAAAUUCAUUUGCUGUUUAAUGUUGUUCACUUUGCAACUAUUUUUUUUCUCCAGAAACUUAAGAUUUUAAUAAUCUUGUUCUUUAAUGUUGUUAAAUUUAUCAUAUGAAAAACUAUGAUCCCUUCUCAUUUAUACUUUUUAGUUUUUUCCCUCCAACUAAUGAAGGUCAUAUUUAUUCUUUAUUUCUUUUCUUAUUCUGUUCAAUUGGCCCGACAUUUUGGUAUGAGUUCGUCUUUGAAAUUUCAUGUCAAAUUCAAGUAGAAGUGUGUCAAUUACCUUUACAUGAAUGCUAUUUGAAGUGUGAACUUGGAUUUUAAUUUUCGAACAAUGACUUCCCUUAAGUUUUAGAAACUUAUUCUAAUUGGUUGUUAUGGUUGCUGUUAAAUUUUAAUUUUAGGAUUGUGAGUUGCGAAGGUGGAAUUUGUCAUUUUAUAUUUUUUGCUCAAGUCCUACUUCUCAGGUAAGCAAUAAUUUGUCCUUGCUUAUUUAUUAAGAAAUGUUUGGAACAUGGCCAUCUUAUAUCAUUUUGGCCUUUUCCGCUUAUAUGAUUACAUUGAGGUAUUGUACCCUUGUCGGAUUAUAUUGACUUUUAUUAGCGUUUAAUCUUUGGACCAAUUGCACAGGCGCACAUAGUGAUUAUGUUGAAAAUUUUAAUUGUGAGAUGAUUGAAAUGUUUUAUUAUUA